GGUGAAUGGUUCCCAAGUGCAAUAAAGACUAAACACCUUUCCCACGCUUGAGACCACUAAAUUCCUAAACAAUUAAAGUUUUGAUUAUGGGACAUUGGAGCAAUUCCGAGCAUCUCAAUUAAUUAUACGAAAUGCUUUUCUUCGGAAAAGUGUUUUGAAACUUUGAUCUGAAAUCAAGCAAGAAAACCCGCUGAACUUAA
RNAcentral lists this unclassified non-coding RNA (200 nucleotides) under soil metagenome. RNAcentral describes it as "partial contains internal transcribed spacer 2 and large subunit ribosomal RNA". The record is from RNAcentral.